Long non-coding RNA from Sphaerodactylus townsendi, 270 nucleotides. RefSeq lists it as uncharacterized. The transcript has 2 exons. The record is from RefSeq and is a predicted model, not a curated record. Lineage: Eukaryota; Metazoa; Chordata; Lepidosauria; Squamata; Sphaerodactylidae.
GGGCUACGCUCCAGGGCUGCUCCGGCCAUGGCCACAGUGGAUGCUGAGAAUAUUCUAUGCAUUUGCAGUCUGAUGACUUCUGAAGUUGCUUCCACCUUACAGACAAGAUCGAAACUGCCAUCUGUCAUAUAAUUCAAUGGUUACAAAAGUAUUAUUUAUUUAAAACACCCUCAGAUCCCAUGUUUCCUGUUAACCCAGAGCGGUUUGCAACCAUGAACACAGAUCAAGGACCAAAAUUAAAAACAUCCAGCAGCAACUGUUGGUACAUUA